UACGGAGGGUGCAAGCGUUAUCCGGAUUCACUGGGUUUAAAGGGAGCGUAGGAGGGCAGGUAAGUCAGUGGUGAAAUCUUCGAGCUUAACUCGGAAACUGCCGUUGAUACUAUCUGUCUUGAAUACCGUGGAGAUGAGCGGAAUAUGUCAUGUAGCGGUGAAAUGCUUGGAUAUGACAUAGAACACCAAUUGCGAAGGCAGCUCGCUACACAUAUAUUGACUCUGAGGCACGAAAGCGUGGGGAUCAAACAGG
Molecule: ribosomal RNA, 253 nt
Filed under: uncultured bacterium
Lineage: Bacteria
Description: partial 16S ribosomal RNA
Rfam family: Bacterial small subunit ribosomal RNA
Source: RNAcentral